Brachypodium distachyon (stiff brome) is the source of this 136-nucleotide non-coding RNA. The record is from Rfam. NCBI's taxonomy places the organism in Eukaryota, Viridiplantae, Streptophyta, Magnoliopsida, Poales, Poaceae.
CAAACACUCCCUCCGUCCAACAAAAGAUGUCUCAAGUUUGUCAAAAUUUGAAUGUAUCUAGACAUGACUUAGUGUAUAGAUGCAUUCAAAUUUAGUCAAAAUCAAGACAUCUUUUGUUAGACGGAGGAAGUACUUG